AGGGACAGGAACAAGCGAGGAAAAGAUUGAGAAAAAUGAAGGAUGAAGACGCGUGGUAGUCAACAUCAUCGACAUCAAGCGACCACCCCCACCUCAACAUCUCGACAAGUAUCCACCCUGCCCGACGCACGAGUGCCACCGCAGUGAUCAUGAAGAUAACUUGUCAUGCAUGGAUCCACACUAGGAGAUGAAGACAAGUUGUCCUAGUUGUGUUUGUGUGGUAGCAUCGUAUCUUUAUUUAUUUCGGUCUUUCCCACUACUAGUAGUACUACUUAAUCUGAUCUCUCUUGUGUUUCUGCAAUUAGUGUUUGUGUCAUGUUAUUAUCUCGUCUACUAGCUUGCUGCAUGACACAUCUUGUAAGCAAACAUUAGUUGUGAAGGUUAUGUGUACCGUGAAGCAUCAAUCCUACUUACCAAUUGGCAUGCCCACGAGCUUGACCGCUUGUAACUGCGAGGCUUGCCCAUGUCUCUGGCUAUUAUCACUUCGUGUCUAAAAUAAAUAAAGACCAGGAUGAAUCAUGACGUA
Triticum aestivum (bread wheat) is the source of this 526-nucleotide long non-coding RNA. RefSeq lists it as uncharacterized. The record is from RefSeq and is a predicted model, not a curated record. The transcript has 2 exons. NCBI's taxonomy places the organism in Eukaryota, Viridiplantae, Streptophyta, Magnoliopsida, Poales, Poaceae.